UACGUAGGGUGCAAGCGUUGUCCGGAUUUAUUGGGUUUAAAGGGUGCGUAGGCGGCCUGUUAAGUCAGUGGUGAAAUCCAACAGCUCAACUGUUGAUGUGCCAAUGAUACUGACGGGCUUGAGUACAGACGAGGUAGGCGGAAUUGACAGUGUAGCGGUGAAAUGCAUAGAUAUUGUCAAGAACACCGAUAGCGAAGGCAGCUUGCUAGCCUGUAACUGACGCUGAUGCACGAAAGUGUGGGGAUCAAACAGG
RNAcentral lists this ribosomal RNA (253 nucleotides) under uncultured bacterium. RNAcentral describes it as "partial 16S ribosomal RNA". It matches the Rfam family "Bacterial small subunit ribosomal RNA", at positions 524 to 776 of the family's 1533-position model. The record is from RNAcentral.